AUGGGAGACAUGUUGGAUCAACAUGAAUACUUCAGGGAUUAUCGCCUGACUCAAAAAGGGAAACUCUUGUGGAAUCAAAUUGAAAUGUUGCAUUGGUAUGGUUGGAAUUUAUGCUUGAGAUAUGAUUAUACUUGUUGCUCUAGGAUGAAGGCUAAACGCCUUCCCUUUUCAUGUAAAUUUAAUGAUAAUGAAACCUUGGCUUCUUAUGCUAAUGGUAGAUAUGAUUACUAUGAUGUGGAACAAAUAGAAGAAUUUGUUGCUUUUAAGGGUGCUUAUAUAAUUAAAUCUCUGUUUGAAAAGUGUGAAGAUCAUGAUGAUGUUGUUUAUAGAACUGAAAAUUUUGCUAUACUUAUAUAUUUCUGA
Molecule: ribosomal RNA, 363 nt
Filed under: Triticum aestivum (bread wheat)
Lineage: Eukaryota; Viridiplantae; Streptophyta; Magnoliopsida; Poales; Poaceae
Description: partial small subunit ribosomal RNA
Source: RNAcentral